RNAcentral lists this ribosomal RNA (253 nucleotides) under uncultured bacterium. Its description in RNAcentral is "partial 16S ribosomal RNA". It matches the Rfam family "Bacterial small subunit ribosomal RNA", at positions 524 to 776 of the family's 1533-position model. The record is from RNAcentral.
GACAGAGGUGGCAAGCGUUGUUCGGAAUUACUGGGCAUAAAGGGUGCGUAGGCGGUCAAGCAGGUCAGGGGUGAAAUCCCCCGUCUCAAUCGGGGAACUGCCUCUGAAACCACUUGGCUAGAGUGGAAAAGGGGAGAGUGGAACUCGCAGUGGAGCGGUGAAAUGCGUAGAUAUUGCGAGGAACGCCGGCGGCGAAAGCGACUCUCUGGGUUCCAACUGACGCUGAGGCACGAAAGCUAGGGGAGCAAACGGG